RNAcentral lists this ribosomal RNA (323 nucleotides) under uncultured bacterium. RNAcentral describes it as "bacterial SSU rRNA". It matches the Rfam family "Bacterial small subunit ribosomal RNA", at positions 28 to 334 of the family's 1533-position model. The record is from RNAcentral.
GAUGAACGCUGGCGGCGUGCUUAACACAUGCAAGUCGAACGAAGCAUUUCGUUUCAAUCCUUCGGGUGCGAAACGGAGUGACUGAGUGGCGGACGGGUGAGUAACGCGUGGGAACCUGCCGUAUGCAGGGGGACAACAGUUAGAAAUGACUGCUAAUACCGCAUAAGCGCACAGUACCGCAUGGUACGGUGUGAAAAGAUUUAUCGGCAUACGAUGGACCCGCGUCUGAUUAGCUGGUUGGCGGGGUAACGGCCCACCAAGGCGACGAUCAGUAGCCGGCUUGAGAGAGUGACCGGCCACAUUGGGACUGAGACACGGCCCAA